GGAAAAUCUGAAAGGUGGCCUUGUGUGUUGAGUCAGUAUUUGUAUUCUCAGAAGGAAUCCCACUGAUGGCUACGGGGCUUCUAAGUCAGUGUGCUUGUGAUUACACUGUAAGUGUCAGAGCUCAAGUCAGGCAUCGGUCAGCAGUUAAACAACAGAUCUCCUGAAGUCAGAAAAGUUAACUCUUAUUCAAAGUGAAACAGAAGCACUCUGGCCUAGUGGUUCCAGCAACCCUUCUCUGCAGGCCUUGCCCUGAGGGGGCAGGUGUGAGGACUGAAGACCCCGCCUUCCCAGGCCCAAUGAAGGCUACGCCUCCCCUGGGUCUUUCCAAAGCAGUCUCAAACUGGCCUGGCCUGCCUCUUCCUCUAGCUCUGAAGCUUCCUCUGCCUCUGAGUUUUCCCUCCUGGCUGGUACAGGUCCCCACAAACCACGGUCUCUCUCUCCCGAGUCUGACUCCAGCCCCCUUCCCUGCCAGUCCCUGACAUCGUGCAAAGAUUCUCUCCCCCCUCCUAUACCCACUUGAUCCCUGCACUCUGCAGGUGAGAACUUCCUACAGGUGCCAUCUGAUCAGGAGGCCAUGGGGCAUUGUGGCACCUCCUCUUUGGAAUUCCUGCCCCUCAAAUAUUACUGUCUGGGUGGGGUUGCAUGGGAAAACACAGAAGACAUUAGAAACAAAAACCACUCACAAUAUCAUCGGGGGGGGGGCGCUCAGUUGUAUAUAACUUAUCUCAAAAUGUGGAAGUUUUGUAAUAACAGGCGCUUCUUUUACACUUUCUGUUUUACACACAGGUUGAUGGUGAAGCUGAUGUCUAGAUGUUCAUGAAACUAUGGGUCACCUUCUCCCUUUGGAUUGUUCUGCAAAGUUGCUUACCACCACAGAAAUGCACAGGUAUUUGCAAUGCCUGCCUUUUCCUUCAUUGAUUUUUGUUGCUUUUACUGGCUUCCGCAUGCAGUCAAAUUAAAUAAAGUAAAUGAAUUUACCCAAUUAACCAGAUUAAACAAAUUAAACUAAUUAAGAUAAAUGAUCUGGGCUCAAACUAAAUUAGAAUGAAACCAAGUGUUACAAAUCAGAGGGGAAGUUCUCAUUUAUGCCAAAGAUGUGAAGUCCAACCCAUAAGGGGAAAGAGGGAACAGCUGCAUUAAUCGAGGCUGGCUGAAAAGUAUUGCUUUGGUCACCAAGAAGCUCCUUAACUAUAAAAGCCAUCCUUCCACCAAUAAGCAUGAUUGCUUUAAUGCUAUUUCAGCCCAAACAACAUCUCUCUCUUUCCUGGCAUUUGACCCAAUAUCAUAAUCUGUGCUGUCAAAGCCUAUUGUGUAAAAUCAAAAUAUAUAUCUUUAGUGACAACUUCAGACAUUACAUUACAGUUCCUUCACAAAGAUAACCUCAGUGUGCACUUUCAGAUAUACUCUAUGUAAGUGUCAAGGAGCUGUCAACGAGCCAGGUCAUCCACACAGAAUGUGUGGGCAGGUACACACACAGAAGACAUGCAAUGCAAUUAGCUUUUUAUGAGCAUGAAACAACACAGCAACAUCCCUGGUUCAUCUUAAACUCAACGGAGGCAGGCGUUGUUGAAACUAAGCUCUAGGUACAUCCACUCCCCUCUAGACUUUCACUCUGGGUCCCUCUUAAGCAGAUGAAGGCUGCGUUGAGAGGGUGGCCGCCUCCUCCUCUGGGCUUUUUUUGGUGCGUUGCUUCUUGAGGGGAGAGUGAGAGGCGGAGGAGAGCCAGCAGGACGGGGACUGUCUGAGGGCCCACGGUGGCUCUCAGCUUCUAACCCUGUCCUGGAAGGCCCUCCUUCUCCUGAUGUCCCUUGAUCCCUCAGGUCUCCUGCUUCUAUCAGCUCCCAGCUCAUCCCUUCUGCUGGCUGCUCCUCAGUGUCCCACCACCAGGCUCCCUCCCUAGGAGGCUCUUGGAAGGCAGGCUCCCCCCACUCUUCUUCACCCAGCCUGUCCCUGACACAGUGUGCUGUGAUAGGGAAAGCUUAAGUUUUUACACUUGAGGGAGAAAAGAAGAGGCAUUUGGCUCAACCUGUCAGUGCAUCAAAAUCCUGAAAACUUGGUUUAUUGUCAGCUCCAUUAAUUAAGUGGUGUGUUAAUGUGACAUUUUGGGUUGAUUCAAUACCAUAAUUAAUCAGCUAGAGCAGGUGUGGUGAAUCUGUAGCUCUGUAGUUGUUUCUGAACUAUCCUUGGUCAUUGACCUUGUUCACAAGUCCUGAUGGGAGUUGAGGUCCCACAACAUUUCAUACAUUUAAUAAAUAUAUUUUAAAAUACUGUGGGUUUGGUGGCAGGCAGGGGGUAGAAGAGGAAUUCUUCUCUGGCUUGGAUUAAAAUUUGGGAGUUGGAACAUGAGGAGAGCAUUGCAAGUCCCCAAGGCUCGUAUUUCCAAGAUUGGAGGGAUAAGUUUCAGCGGUAUCCCUAAUCCAGAUUGUUUGGUGGAGGAGUUCAUCUUCAUAUUGCAAAUCAGUCACCUCCCCCAACCCAGAAUAAGGAGAAAGGGAGCAGGGAAAUCUCAAGCUGCUUCUUCUCCAGUUUUCAGAUGAAAAGCUGCUACGGUUCUUCCUCCUCCAUUCAUUCCACCAGGCUCUAUUCUUUCUUUGUACUCUCCCAGCACUCUGGAGGCAUUUUCCUAAUCUCAUUGAAAUGUCUACACUUCAUUCAUCCUUACAGCCCAUUCAACAGGUCUCCAUAGAGCAGUGAAUGGAAAUGUGUUUAAACACAUCAGCUGGGCUCUGGAGGAGGGGAGGAGGCGGUGGCGGGGCUCUCUAAUGGCCAGCCAGAUGCUCCUUUUCUUGCUGUUCUUGUCGGAGGUGGCUUUCCAGCCAGCAGGGGCCCAUUUCCACUUAAUCAAGGGCAAUGUGCCCUCAAUUGGCAUUUGUCUUUUUCUUGGCAUGCUUUCCUGCUGUUAGAAACAUUCAGCUGCACAAACCUCCCAGUAGCUCUGGCUCUGACCCUGGCCCUGGAGAAAAAUUAUCCAAUAACAGUGGCUUUCUACAGCUGAUCACCAAGGAAAAGCCAUUAUACCCUCUCCAACAUGUCUCAGGUGAAAGCAGGGAUAUUUCUGCAUAGGAAUGGGCCAAUAUGACCAUUUUGGUUCCUCGCUCUGCCAGAUUUAAAAACAGUUCUCCACAUUUCCAUAUCUGUGAUUCUUUUCCCCAAAGAAGUUCUAAUGAAAAUUUGCCAGUGUUUUUUCUCCCAAAGUGCACAUCUUUGACUGAUCUUCAUUGACUUCUGAAGCACAGUUUGCUUGUUGGUAUACUGACCCUAGCAAUUUACGUAAUACCUCCCAGUGGAUCUGGUUGUCCUGAUUGAAACCACAUGCAGUUACAUUUACUAUCUGAAUGGGGGUUAUGGGGGGGGGAUAUGAACCCCAGACAUUGUAUUUAGAUAUUUUGGUCACAGACCAUCAUAAGAUAAAACAUACGGAUAAACUGAACACAUCAGACUUAAAACAAAAGGGAAAAACUAGUAGUUAAAAGGUGAUUAUAUCAUACAUACAGUGGUACCUCGGUUUUUGAACGUAAUCCAUUCCGGAAGACUGUUCAAUUUCCGAAACGUUUGAAAACCAAAGCAUUUACUUCUGGAAGCAUUUACUUAUGGAAAACUCAAUACGGAAGCCGCGUUCGAAAACCAAAGCAGUUGCUUCCGGAUUUUCGGCAUUCGAAAACCAAUACGUUCGACUCCCAAGAUGUUCGAAAACCGAGGUACCACUGUACAUACAUAACUUUAAAAGAUAAAAACAGGGACAAACUGUUAAAAGCGACUAUGAGGGAGGGAGUGCAGAGGAGCACAAUUCUUGCAUUUUGGGCCUAGUUUGUGGUGCAAACCAUCCUUUGACCAGUAUCCAUCCUGGCAGUGCAAAGUAUAGCAACUGAGUAUGUAACAUCUGGAUUUUCAUCUUGAAGUAGAAGGGAAGUAUAAAGUUGUACUGUAUGACCUGGAAAUUUAUGUAGUAUAGGCAAGAUGAUCCUAGCUUGUAUAUCUGUAUAGUAUUGGCAGUGAAAAAAGACAUGUUCCAUUGUUUCCAGUUGCUCAGAGCCACAGGGGCAUUUCCUCUCUUCGUAUGGUGUCUUCCUAAAGCAGCCUUCCUGGAUGGCUGAAGGAAGAGCCUGGCAGUGGGCGAGAGGGAAAGCCCUUUGCUGUUUUGGAAUUUCAAGGUUGGUUAUAUGGCAUCUGGCUCUGCUUAGUGCAUCCCUUGCCCCUUCUCUGACCACAGGCUCCUCCCGCUCUUUCCCCUGGCUGGGCUUGUCUCCUUCCACUGGGCUUGACGGUUUGGUUGAGCUGUUUUAUUCUUAACUUCCCUCUGCAUCUCUAAGCUGGUCAAGUAGGUUGUUGUUUGCAGCCGAAGACAUUCUGGGGCCAACCCCAAAAUGGUGCCAGGGAAGAAUGGGUGAGGGAAGAUCAGGAAGAAAGAUUGGCAUCAGGACCAGCUGCCCCUGCGGAUGCUGCCACCUGAGGCAGUCGCCUCCUCUUGUCUCAUGGGUGGGGCUGGCCCUGUUGCUGGCUCUGUGCAACUGAGCAAUAUUUGAGGGAAUGCAAAUCCCAUCUGCAGAGAUCUAAUAUUUAAUAACUUAUCAAAAUUUCUACAUCAAGGUGAGCUGGACCAAGCCAUUUAGGUGGCAGGUGCAAGAAUGGCACGACUGAAUGCUUCAUCAAAGAGGUGGGGGUACCUCCUAGAUAUCAGGGAGAACAAUUGCCUUGUAACCUCUUUGCUGAUAUGCUAGCUUAAAUGGACAAGGGUUUAUUCUAGAAACAAACAAAUUCUCCCGCCUGCAGUUUCUUUUUAAAAUCUCAUUGACAUUUAUGUGAACUAGGCCAAAAUCAAAGCUGUAGGAGCCAGCCAAGCCCCAGUCAGACCAGAGAAAUCAUGUAAGAAACACUGACUCAGGUGACUCAGGUGAGAACUUCCAAGGCAGGCUUUUUUCUUUGAUCUGAGCAACUAAAGGAUUUAGCUUGCUGCAGGUCUUGGCUGCAGACACCCUGUUGGUUUUACAAAAUGUCACUCUAUUCCUGACAAUAGGAGUCCCUGCACAUAUUUUAUACAUCUAACUUUACAAUAUAAAAUUCUUUGCAACUGAGAAAAUGUCUUUUCAGAUAUAAGUUAGCUUUGUGUGAAGCACCCCCACCCCCGGUAGAUUCUUCAUUUCCAUAUUUGGACUUUUCUUGAAAAGAUACAAGACUUGGUUCUCAAGUAAGACCAGUGCGCAGUUGGUAAGGUUCAGUGUUGAAUACAAAUUCAGUGAAACCACAGAGGAGAAAGCAUCUAAAUCAUACUGAAAAUAUGUGGUUCGUUUAGCCAAAUGUAAGUGGUGCCUCUUCCCCACGUACAUAUAGGAAAACAGAAAAACACAUAUAUUCAUUUGAACUAUGUUCAGUAUAACACCAACUUUUUUAAAAUUUGUAUUUUUAAUUUUCAUUUAUAACAAAAUGACAUUUCAAACAGUAAAAAAGGUCAUCAUUACAUGUUAAACCUCAACUCCCCUCCCCCUCUUUCUGCAGUUCCUUAAAUUUACUCUUUCCCCCCUUCUUUUCGACCAUUAAAAUGAAUGUAUUAACAAGGAUGUUAUUAAUAUUUCAAUCAAUACCAGUGAUUGGUAAGACAGAUUGCUUCCAGAAAUGGCAAAACAUAUUUCUAAAUAUAUCUAGCAAGGGGAAAAACUGAGAAUAAAAUAUAAAAUACUGAUACAGUGAUACCUUGGUACUUGAACGGCUUGGCUUCUGAACAAAUUGGCUCCCUAACGCCACAAACCUGGAAGUGAGUCUUCUAGUUUGCCAACGUUUUUCAGAAGCCGAAUGUCCGACGUGGCUUCCUUGGCUUCCAGUUGAGUGCAGUAAGCUCCUGCAGCCAAUCGGAAUCCACGCCUUGGGUUUUUUGAACCGUUUCAGGAGUCAAAUGGACUCCCAGAAUGGAUUAAGUUUGAGAACCGAGGUACCACUGUAGAUGCUAAGGAGAGAGGAGGUUUUUCCCUGCCAGAUAUGAGAUUAUAUUAUGAAGCUUCCUGUCUGUGCUGCUUGAAGGAAUAGUUGUCAUUGAAGAAUCCACAUAUCUUAGACGUUGUAGGCAAUGAUAAUAUAUUUGGCUGGUAUGCGUAUUUGUGGUAUGAAAAGUUGAAAGUACAUAAAGGAUUUACAAGCCAUAUAAUUAGGAAAAAUUUGUAUAGCGUAUGGGAUAAAUAUAAAAAUCUAUUGGAAAGAAAAACACCACUUUGGCUUUCACCAGUAGAAGCUAUAGAGGUGAAGAAGAAGAACACGAUGGUGGAAAACUGGGUAACUUAUGGAAACUUAUUAAAGGAGGAAGGUGGAGAAUUUAAAUUAAAAGAGUUUAAGGACCUAUCAGGAGUGUUAACAACAUGGAUGCAAUAUCAUCAUUUAAACAAAGUAUUUAUAAAGGAUAAGAAAUGGGGGUUUGCAGGACAAGUAUCUCAAUUAGAGAGAGACCUAUUAGACUAUAAUGUUAAAAUGAUGUCUAAAAUGUACAAGUUGCUUUUAGAAUGGGAGACAAAAGACGAACAAGUGAAAUCAUCAGUGAUACAUUGGGCAGUCGUUAUUGGUCACAAUAUAGAAAUGGAUGCAUGGGAAUGAUUGUGGAAUACAGAUAUAAAAUUUACAGCAUGCUAUGGUUUAAAAUAAAAUUAUAUGAAAAUGCUAUAUAAAUGGUAUCUAACACCUACCAGAUUGGCAGGAAUAUAUAAACUGAAAUCGAAUAAGUGUUGGAAAUGCAAAGAGAAAGAAGGUACCUUUUUCCAUAUGUGGUAGGCUUGCAGUAAAGUUAAAGCCUACUGGGAAAUGAUAUAUAAUGAAUUGAAAAUGAUGUCUAAGAUAACAUUUGUAAAAAAACAAAACAGAAGCUUUUCUCUUGGAAUUAUGGGAUCAGAAGUACCUAAACAAUAUAGAAAUUUAUUUAUGUAUGCAACCACGGCUGUGAGAACAGUAUUUGCCCAAAGAUGGAAAAAAGAACCAGUCCUGACAAGACAAGAACAGCUACAGAAAUUAAUGGACAAGGCAGAAAUGGCAAAACCUACUAGAAGAAUAAGAAACCAAGACAAACUCUUUAAUAGAGAAUGGAAAUCUUUUAUUGAAUAUUUACAAAUUGUAAACAAAUUAAGACAUUAGCAGGAUUACUGUAAAAAUGUGGAGUUGCUAAAACUUAUAUGAAAUAGAUGAGGAAAAGUAUAAAUAGAUUUAAUUGGGAAAUAUAACACCAACUUUAAAUAUAUUUUUUAAAAAAUUAAAAAAAAAUUGUCCAGUAGCACCUUAGAGACCAACUAAGUUUGUUCUGGGUAUAAGCUUUUGUGUGUGUGCACACUUCUUCAGAUACACGGCUACCUACCUGAAUUUAAAUAUAUUGCGCGCUCUCUCUAUACACACACACACACACACACACACACACACACACACACAGAGUGUGAGAGCAGGAUGGAUGCUGCAUGCUAGACUUGAUGGGCCUUUGGCCUGAUCCAGGGCUGCUCUUCUUACAUUCUCACGUUUGGUUCCCAGGAAACAGCAGCCUAACAUAUGUGCUGGUUACAGUGAGAGUCCAGUGUUGAGUAUAAGUUCAACGACUGAUAAACGCUGUGGAAAAACUUGCACUCCUCUCAGAGUGGGACAGGGUCCCUAUGAGUCAUAAAAUAUUUCAGCAGGAGCAAAGGGACGACAAGGGCAGAUUUUCAUUUGGGCCAAAGCCAGCUGUGCAACCUGAUUUCAGUGUCAGAGGACAUGUGAAAUAGCAGAGGGGUACCUGAACACGUGCAGAGUGCAUUUCCUUCAAAUCCUAUCCACAAUAAUGGGAGGAGUGGAGUUAGUUGGGAGUGGCUGCCAAGCAGAUUUGAGCCCCAGCACAUUCCUUUUUAGAAACCAACAAAUGUGUAGGGAAAUGUGGGGACGGGGGGGGGGGACGGGGGGGGACGUAAGAGUCUAAUUGCAAGGCGAAGAUCUGUUUCUGCCCUGCUGAAAUAGCCAACCAGCAACUGACAGGGCCUGGUGCCCCUGUCUCCCCCUGUGCCGGCCUUACAAGGAGGAGACUGGGGGAGUUGAGUGGCGCUUGCCUGAGUCUGCAGCUCAGCAGUCUAGGCCAAGAGUGGUGGGGUUGUAGUCUGAGCAGCAGACUGGAAAUCUUUGAAGAAUAGACUUCAAAGGGAAAGGGGAGGGAAGAAACAAUGUAUAAUCUUCAUACAAAUGUGCUCAAGGGUCUCUGAAGCUCAAAGCCUUUCCUGAUUUUAGAAUUAAUUAUCACUUGCCACUAGCAAGCUUUUAUUCACAGGUAACUGGUACAGCAAUCAGAGGCCUUUAGGUGUAAAAUUCAUGAAAUUAUAUUAAACUGAUUAAAGCUAAGUAAACCACCAGAUUUCCCUUUGGUAUCUUUGCAGCACUCCCCCUCCCCAAAUUCCCUUCCAAAUGUUUGAUGUCAAAUCCUCUGCAUCAUUUAUAUGCAGGGAGUGGGGCCAGCUCCCAAAAAUUCAAAUGUUGAAAGGGCUAUAUUGGAAAUACUGCAAAAUAUAAAUUAGAAAUUAUCCUUGCCACGCUCUCCGGCUUUUUGGUGAAUAAGUGAGCAUAUGCAAACUCAGGCACCAGCGUUCCUCAACAAAUGCAAAAGCAGUUCCGGGAAGGAGUCUUGCUGGUGUAAAUCAGCAUGCCACAAUUUGAGUUAUAUUGUUGGAGAGUCUGACCCCAAACCAUUUGUCAACCCCAUGACUCUACCGUCUAUAUUUUCAGCAUUCUUUUUGACAAUGGAAGGAGAAUGUCACAAAGAUAACUCUCCCUAGACUAAUAAAUAAAUAGUUGACAUAGUUCUUCCCAUCAUCUCUAUUUCCCAGGGACAGUCCCGGAUUUAAAGAAGCCGUCUUGGUUUCUGAUAUGAUCCUGGAAUGUCCCGCUUCUCCUUAGGUCAUCUCUGUUUCCAUCGGAGAAAGGUUGGAGGGCAGGAGGUAAGACUGGGAACGUCCCCAGUCUGAAACCCUUAAUAGCCUCUACCAGUCAGUGCAAGCAAUGCUGACUCCUCGGGUACCUUCCUGUGUUCCUAUCUGCCUCCCUUACUUGCAAUUGAGAGUAAAGCAUUUUAAGAGGGGUAACUGAUUUGCGAUAAGUGAUCCCGGAAGAGCUGCUGAUUGUCUAAAUUGGCCUUGGUUUGGUGCUGUUAAUUGCUCAUUUGUAUGGCAUGAGACUAGUGCUGCAGAAGUCAACAAGUUCAGCAAUUCCAGGAUCGGGAUCAGCAUGCCCUAAAUACAAGCAUUUUAAAAGGAGAAGCCAGACAAAUGUAGUACAAUAAUGUAAAACUGUCAAGAUUGUUUUUGAUCUCUCACUCACUGGUUAUGUGUCAGCAUUGCUCCAAUAGCUCCCAGCUUGUGCCUAUGGAGAGAUGUUUUCUCAAAGCUCUGCAUGAAGAAAGGUUGGUUCCUUGCUUGUUUCGUAGGGCCAGGAACCCAUGUCUGGAGGCACUUGUGGGCUGGAUGAGGCAAAAUAAUCUGAGCUUGAAUCCUGGCAAGGCUCUGUGGGCGCGGGGUUCUCGUGUUGGAGAAAUCAAGAAGUCAAUUACCUGCUCUGGAUGGGGCUGCCCUCCCUCUGAAGGAGCAUGUGUGCUGCCUUGGGAUGCUCCUGGAUCUAGCUUGGUCACUGAGGUCCAAGUGGUCUCAGUGGCAAGGAGUGCCUUUUAGAGGCUUCAGCUGGUAAGACAACUGCAACCAUCCCUGGACCUGCAGAGCUUGAUCACAGUGGUCCAGGCACUGGUAAGUUCAAGGCUGGACUACUGCAAUGCAGUCUACAUGGGGCUUCCCUUGUGCUUCAUCUGGAAACUGUAUUUGGUCAGAAUGCUACAGCAUGAUUGCUUAUAGCAAGGGUGAAACUAGGUUUUAUUUCACCUGGGUCAAAGACCCAGUUUGGCACCCCCACAUGCACACAGAGAGAAACUGAGAGCCUCAACAGUGCCCCUCUGGAGGCUUCACCUGGGACAAAACACCCAGCUAGCCCCGCCACAGCAACAGCUCUGCUCAUAGUAAUGCAAUUUGUCAAUUAUUACACCAGUGCUCCAAGAACUGCACUGGCUGCCAGUUCACUGGGUUGAGCUCAAGAUGUUACUUCAAGAUGUUACCUUAACAGCUUGGGGCCAGUUUACUUAAGGGACCACCUUGCCCCCACAUGCCCGCUCUGUCAUUUGGAACUGCGGAACGUCCCACCUGCAUUUGUAAGGAGUGCGGCAGCGCUUAUACUUUGGAACUCCCUGCCUAUUGACGUUAGGCAGGGGCCAUCACUACACUCCUUUAGACGUCUGCUGAACAUGUUUCUGUUUCAGUCAGUUCUGUAUUCAGACACAUUACUGGUUACACGUGUUUUAUUGUUUUUAGAUGCUUUUAACAGUUAAAUGUUUGAAAUAUGUUUUUAUUUCAACUGUGUUUUCAUCACAGAUGUGUUUGCCACCCUGGAAGGAGGAAUGGACGAAGAGGAAUGGACAUAUGCAAGAAAGGUGGUGGUCAUGGUUCAAAAGGAGAGGUGGCACUCAGCCCUGCUCUAUGAUCAGCUUGGGGCUCUUAAAACCAUGAGCAGGACCUAAAAGCAGUGGUCAACGCUGAGCUCUGGUGUAAGAGGGGGGUGAGAAUACUCGGAGAGUUGUAACUUUGUGGAACUGUCUUUGUUCAAUUUUUAGAUUUCUUGGUAGAUCAACUCAUCCACCCAGACUGCUGCAUAUAAAAAGGGGGUGUGGGUGUUUUCUUCUUUGGGGGACAUUCUUGUGUGAUGAACAUUUAGAUGCCAAGCCCAUCUCUUUUGGCUCAUUGCUGAGAUUCCCAAGACUGCAAAGCCGCAGGUGACUGGCUUUGCUUCCUGCCCCCUGCCAAAGAGAAAAUUGUUGACCUUCUGGAGCAUUUGUUUGAUUAGAGAUAGUUGACACAGCUUGUGGGAAAUCAUUUUGUAGGGGGAAAGAAUCUUACUAGUUCCUCUGUAUCCUUAGCUUUCAUCUUCCCUCCCGCUGCGUAUCAUGAACGGCCCACCAAAAAUAUCUUGUGAGGACUAAGGGUGAGGCCAGGCAGAUCUUCCCA
RNAcentral lists this long non-coding RNA (11021 nucleotides) under Podarcis lilfordi (Lilford's wall lizard). Lineage: Eukaryota; Metazoa; Chordata; Lepidosauria; Squamata; Lacertidae. The record is from RNAcentral.